Molecule: transfer RNA, 75 nt
Filed under: Candidatus Azambacteria bacterium RIFCSPHIGHO2_01_FULL_40_24
Lineage: Bacteria; Candidatus Azamiibacteriota
Also listed under: 2 other names
Description: tRNA-Glu
Rfam family: tRNA
About the family: Transfer RNA (tRNA) molecules are approximately 80 nucleotides in length.
Source: RNAcentral
GGCCUCAUCGUCUAGCGGCUAGGACACAGCCUUCUCAAGGCUGGAACCGGGGUUCGAUUCCCCGUGAGGUCACAA